AGUGAACGCUGGCGGUAGGCCUAACACAUGCAAGUCGAACGGCAGCACAGGAGAGCUUGCUCUCUGGGUGGCGAGUGGCGGACGGGUGAGGAAUACAUCGGAAUCUACUUUUUCGUGGGGGAUAACGUAGGGAAACUUACGCUAAUACCGCAUACGACCUACGGGUGAAAGCAGGGGACAUUCGGGCCUUGCGCGAUUGAAUGAGCAGAUGUCGGAUUAGCUAGUUGGCGGGGUAAAGGCCCACCAAGGCGACGAUCCGUAGCUGGUCUGAGAGGAUGAUCAGCCACACUGGAACUGAGACACGGUCCAGACUCCUACGGGAGGCAGCAGUGGGGAAUAUUGGACAAUGGGCGCAAGCCUGAUCCAGCCAUACCGCGUGGGUGAAGAAGGCCUUCGGGUUGUAAAGCCCUUUUGUUGGGAAAGAAAUCCAGCUGGUUAAUACCCGGUUGGGAUGACGGUACCCAAAGAAUAAGCACCGGCUAACUUCGUGCCAGCAGCCGCGGUAA
Molecule: ribosomal RNA, 506 nt
Filed under: uncultured bacterium
Lineage: Bacteria
Description: partial 16S ribosomal RNA
Rfam family: Bacterial small subunit ribosomal RNA
Source: RNAcentral